UCUCUAAUAGCUUAAAGGUAAAGCAUUUGACUGUUAAUCAAAAAAUUAUAGGUUCAAAUCCUAUUUAGAGAG
RNAcentral lists this transfer RNA (72 nucleotides) under Cryptomonas gyropyrenoidosa. RNAcentral's name for it is "tRNA-Asn". It matches the Rfam family "tRNA". From Rfam's summary of the family: Transfer RNA (tRNA) molecules are approximately 80 nucleotides in length. Their secondary structure includes four short double-helical elements and three loops (D, anti-codon, and T loops). Lineage: Eukaryota; Cryptophyceae; Cryptomonadales; Cryptomonadaceae. The record is from RNAcentral.